Molecule: ribosomal RNA, 284 nt
Filed under: Escherichia coli
Lineage: Bacteria; Pseudomonadati; Pseudomonadota; Gammaproteobacteria; Enterobacterales; Enterobacteriaceae
Description: partial 23S ribosomal RNA
Rfam family: Bacterial large subunit ribosomal RNA
Source: RNAcentral
GGGUUGUGAGGUUAAGCGACUAAGCGUACACGGUGGAUGCCCUGGCAGUCAGAGGCGAUGAAGGACGUGCUAAUCUGCGAUAAGCGUCGGUAAGGUGAUAUGAACCGUUAUAACCGGCGAUUUCCGAAUGGGGAAACCCAGUGUGUUUCGACACACUAUCAUUAACUGAAUCCAUAGGUUAAUGAGGCGAACCGGGGGAACUGAAACAUCUAAGUACCCCGAGGAAAAGAAAUCAACCGAGAUUCCCCCAGUAGCGGCGAGCGAACGGGGAGCAGCCCAGAGCC